Molecule: long non-coding RNA, 335 nt
Organism: Psammomys obesus (fat sand rat)
Lineage: Eukaryota; Metazoa; Chordata; Mammalia; Rodentia; Muridae
Exons: 2
Source: RefSeq, a predicted model, not a curated record
UAGGCUAGUAGAAUUACGGAGCGCGGUUGAGGACACGUUUGGUUGCUUGACUCUCAGAAGAGUUUUUCCGGUGCCAAAGUAGUGAAGGGGCUCAAGGAGGCAAAGUUUGAUUGCACUAAUGCCGAAAGGUUGGAAACUGGAGAAGCCGAAGGAACAAAGGUGCAAAACGAGCCUGGAUUCUUGCUUGACAUGAGGAGCCUCAUCAGUGUACAAUGAUUUGCUACCAACCUCAAGUACUUAAGAUGUCUACGCUCCUUUUUAUUCAGCCUUUACCCAUUUGCUUUCUCUCCACCCCACUUCAUUAUUAGCUAGUAAAUUCUCUUUCAAUUUGUGCA